AUGGGAUGCCUCAGCGGCGAGCUGAGGACUGAGCUAGUGGAGGAGGUGAAAUCAGAAGGCUUCUUGCCGUCCUGUCUGACGCUGAGAGCGGCAGCCUGCGUCCAACAGCGUCCGACCGCAGCCUGCGGGGGCUCUCGGGCCAGCGGACCCCGUCUCCACCGCGGCGCUCCUCGCCGGGCCGAGGCCGUUCGCCCCGCAGAGGCCCCUCCCCGGCCUGCUCAGAAGACUCCACGCUCGCUUGCCCUGAUUCUCUCCGCCCUGCACUUUUGCCAGCUGAAGGUCCAGAACAUGCGUGGGCGCUAUGAGGCAAGCCAGGACCUGCUGGGCACCCUGCGGAAGCAGCUUAGCGACAGCGAGAGUGAGCGGCGGGCCCUAGAGGAACACCUGCGUGGCGCCGUCGGUCUUGUCCCGGAGAAGAGCAACCUGGUCCACAGCCUGCAGGUGGCCCAGCAGCAGGCCGAGGAGCUGCCGCAGGAGCGGGAGAAGCUGCAGGUUGCCCAGGAGGAGCUGCAGCGCCAGCGGGACCGGCUGGAGGAAGAGCAGGAAGAGGCGGUGCAGAAUGGCGCACGGGUUCGCCGGGAGCUUGAGCGCAGCCAUAGACAACUAGAGCAGCUGGAAGGGAAGCGCUCAGUCCUGGCCAAGGAGCUGGUGGAGGUGAGGGAGGCGCUGAGCCGCGCCACGCUGCAACGGGACAUGCUGCAGGCCGAGAAGACCGAGGUGGCCGAGGCGCUGACCAAGGGUGAGGCUGGCCGCAUGGAGCUCGAGCUCUCCGUGACCAAGCUGAGGGCAGAGGAGGCCUCCCUGCAGGACUCCCUGUCCAAGCUGAGCGCCCUCAACGAGAGCCUUGCUCAGGACAAGUUGGAUCUGAACUGCCUUGUCACCCAGCUGGAGGAAGAAAAGGCCAUGCUGCAGGGCCGGCAGCGGCAGGCGGAGCAGGAGGCCACAGUGGCGCCGGCAGAGCAGGAGUGGCUGGAGGAGCUGUGGUUGGAGCAGGAGGUGGCACGGCAGGGCCUGGAGGGCUCCCUAUGAGUGGCGGAGCAGGCCCAGGAGGCGCUGGAGCAACAGCUCCCCACACUGCACCAUGAGCUCAGUUGGCUGCAGGAGCAGCUAGCACAGGAGGCAGCAUGGCGGGAGCUGGAGGCCGAGCGGGCCCAGCUGCAGAGUCAGCUGCAGCGUGAGCAGGAGGAGCUGCUGGCCCGGCGGAAGGCUGAGAAGGAACAGCUGAGUGAGGAGAUUGCUGCCCUGCAGCAGGAGCAUGACGAGGGCCUCCUCCUGGCCGAGAGCGAGAAGCAGCAGGCCUUGUCUCUGAAGGAGUCUGAGAAGAUGGCGCUGUCAGAGAAGUUGAUGGGUACACGGCACAGCCUGGCCACCAUCUCCCUGGAGAUGGAGCGGCAGAAACCAGAUGCCCAGAGCCGGCAGGAGCAGGACCGGGUAGGCCUGCCGUCGUAGGGAGGCUUGCGGAGCAGGAGCGCCCUCUCUCCACCGAGCUAUCCCGCGGUUUCCAGCAUCCCAUCUGGCGGACUCCUCUUCCUCUCUCUUCUCCUACUCUGGGUCUUCUAUCCUGGUGUUCCUUGAAUGCCUAUCUUCCUUUUGUGCCUCGGAACCUCUCACGCCUGCCACAAGUUACUCUUUUCCUUGGUAGUUCUGAACUUUAAAUAAGGUAAUGCCUGUAAGAAUGCCAUAAAUGCUCAAUAAUUGUCAUCUGUUAUUAUUUUCAUCAGUAACAUCAUCUGAAUCAUCAGUAUUGUCUGCUUUUAACAGCUGCAUUUUUCAUUGUCCAAAUAUAGUCACAUACAUUUGACCAUUUUAUAAUUAUUGAAUAAUAAAUUUGUUCUGCUAUUUUACAAUGAAAAAUAAUGCUGCAGAGAGCAUUUUUGCACAUGUAUCGUGGCAGAUGUAGGCCAGAGGCUCUUCUUUUAUCCAUCCUAUGGCCAACCUAUGAAUGUAUACACGUUUAAUGAGAUUUUGCCAGCAAUCAAAGCCUUCAGGGAAAAUGUCCCUAGCUCUUUACUACAUCAGAUCAAGGACUCUGGAUAAUUGGCAUAACAUCCUGGAAUAGCUGAAACAGAGAUAUUAUUCUCUGCUCUCCUCUGUUGUCUUUGUCUUUUCACGUCUUAAUAAAAGUGCUGGUGACAAGAGUGUAA
This is a non-coding RNA of Homo sapiens (human), 2144 nucleotides long. The record is from RefSeq and is a predicted model, not a curated record. NCBI's taxonomy places the organism in Eukaryota, Metazoa, Chordata, Mammalia, Primates, Hominidae.